UAGGGAAUCUUCGGCAAUGGACGAAAGUCUGACCGAGCAACGCCGCGUGAGUGAAGAAGGUUUUCGGAUCGUAAAACUCUGUUGUUAGAGAAGAACAAGGACGCUAUUAACUGAACGUCUCCUGACGGUAUCUAACCAGAAAGCCACGGCUAACUACGUGCCAGCAGCCGCGGUAAUACGUAGGUGGCAAGCGUUGUCUGGAUUUAUUGGGCGUAAAGCGAGCGCCGGCGGUUUCUUAAGUCUGAUGUGAAAGCCCCCGACUCAACCGGGGAGGGUCAUUGGAAACUGCGAGACUUGAGUGCAGAAGGGGAGAAUGGAAUUCCAGGUGUAGAGAUAAAAUGCGUAGAUAUAUGAAGGAACGCCAGUGGAAAAGGCGGCUCUCUGGUCUGGACCUGACGCUGAGGCUGGAAAGCGUGGGGAGCAAACAGG
RNAcentral lists this ribosomal RNA (429 nucleotides) under Gemmatimonadota bacterium. RNAcentral's name for it is "Gemmatimonadetes bacterium partial 16S ribosomal RNA". It matches the Rfam family "Bacterial small subunit ribosomal RNA", at positions 355 to 776 of the family's 1533-position model. The record is from RNAcentral. Lineage: Bacteria; Pseudomonadati; Gemmatimonadota.